RNAcentral lists this ribosomal RNA (860 nucleotides) under uncultured bacterium. RNAcentral describes it as "bacterial SSU rRNA". It matches the Rfam family "Bacterial small subunit ribosomal RNA", at positions 505 to 1383 of the family's 1533-position model. The record is from RNAcentral.
GUGCCAGCAGCCGCGGUAAAACGUAGGAGGCAAGCGUUAUCCGGAUUUACUGGGUGUAAAGCGCGUGCAGGCGGUUUAUUAAGUUGGGUGUGAAAGCUCCUGGCUCAACUAGGAGAGGUCGCUCAAGACUGAUAGACUCGAGAGCAGUAGGGGAAGGUGGAAUUCCGGGAGUAGUGGUGAAAUGCGUAGAUAUCCGGAGGAACACCAGUGGCGAAGGCGGCCUUCUAGACUGUAUCUGACGCUCAGACGCGAAAGCUAGGGUAGCAAACGGGAUUAGAGACCCCGGUAGUCCUAGCCGUAAACGAUGUGAACUUGGCGCUGGCUGGGUAAAACCGAUCAGUGCCGAAGCAAACGCGAUAAGUUCACCACCUGGGGACUACGGCCGCAAGGUUAAAACUCAAAGGAAUUGACGGGGGCCCGCACAAGCAGCGGAGCGUGUGGUUUAAUUCGAUGCUACACGAAGAACCUUACCAGGGCUUGACAUGCAUGUGGUAGCGAAGCGAAAGCGGAGCGACCCUUCGGGGAGCAUGCACAGGUGCUGCAUGGCUGUCGUCAGCUCGUGUCGUGAGAUGUUCGGUUAAGUCCGCUAACGAGCGCAACCCUCGCGUGUGUUAUACGUGUCACGCGGAACUGCCAGUCUUAAGCUGAGGAAGGUGGGGAUGACGUCAAGUCAGCAUGGCUUUAUGUUCUGGGCUACACACACGCUACAUGUCAGUACACAGGAGCGAGCCGCGAGGCGGAGCCAAUCCCUAAAAGCUGGUCUCAGUUCAGAAUGCAGGCUGCAACUCGCUUGCAUGAGAAUGAAGUUGCUUAGUACCGCAUGACAGCUUAUACUGCGGUGAAUACUGUUCCGGGCCCUG